Molecule: long non-coding RNA, 480 nt
Filed under: Ananas comosus (pineapple)
Lineage: Eukaryota; Viridiplantae; Streptophyta; Magnoliopsida; Poales; Bromeliaceae
Description: long non-coding RNA (ACOM_LNC007298)
Source: RNAcentral
UUUUUAAUGUAUAUCCAAAUUUUAAAAAUUUAAAUUAAUUUAAAAUUUAAAUUAAAGUUUGAAUUUAAAUUUUAAUUUAUAAAAAUUAAAUUUAAUUUUGAAUUUAUUAUUCGACUUUAAAUAAUUGUUGGUUUGAUAGGUUUAUUUUUAAAUCAUUCUAUUUUUCAAACCUGAUAUAUUUUAUUUUAUUUUUAUUUUUUUAAUUUUUUUUUGUAAUGUGUGACACCCCAAUAAUCCCACAUCGGAUGGGAAUAGGGUUAAUAAUAACUGGGCUUAAGCAUUUUGGGCUGGUUGUUGGGCCCAACGAGUUAUUGUUGCUAGUGGGCUGGGUCGUUACAUAAUGUGUAUAGAAUAUUCUUUAUAUCAUUUAGGAUUCCAUAUGUCAAGUCUAUUUUUAUUUUAAUCCAGUUUAUGUAUGGUAUAGAUAUAGAUAUGGCAAUAUAGUAACUUAUUUCUAAAUUGCCAUACAUAAAAAUAGGG